This 372-nucleotide ribosomal RNA is filed under the name uncultured organism. RNAcentral's name for it is "bacterial SSU rRNA". It matches the Rfam family "Bacterial small subunit ribosomal RNA", at positions 526 to 896 of the family's 1533-position model. The record is from RNAcentral.
CAGAGGUCCCAAGCGUUGUUCGGAUUCACUGGGCGUAAAGGGUGCGUAGGCGGUCGGGUAAGUCUGAUGUGAAAUCUCAGAGCUCAACUCUGAAACUGCAUUGGAUACUAUUCGGCUUGAGGUCUGGAGGGGGGACUGGAAUUCUCGGUGUAGCAGUGAAAUGCGUAGAUAUCGAGAGGAACACCAGUGGCGAAGGCGAGUCCCUGGACAGGUCCUGACGCUGAGGCACGAAAGCUAGGGGAGCAAACAGGAUUAGAUACCCUGGUAGUCCUAGCCGUAAACGGUGCGUAUUUGCUGUAAAAGGAAUCGACCCCUUUUGUGGCGUAGCAAACGCGUUAAAUACGCCGCCUGGGAAGUACGGUCGCAAGAUUA